GGAGCAGGCCAGAUGAUCGCUGUUCCGGUUUACCGGAAGGGAGGAAAGUCCGAGCUCCACAGGGCAGGAUGGUCGCUAACGGCGACUGGGGGUGACCCUAAGGAAAGUGCCACAGAAAAGAUACCG
Molecule: RNase P RNA, 126 nt
Filed under: Syntrophaceae bacterium
Lineage: Bacteria; Pseudomonadati; Thermodesulfobacteriota; Syntrophia; Syntrophales; Syntrophaceae
Description: partial RNase P RNA component class A
Rfam family: Bacterial RNase P class A
About the family: Ribonuclease P (RNase P) is a ubiquitous endoribonuclease, found in archaea, bacteria and eukarya as well as chloroplasts and mitochondria. Its best characterised activity is the generation of mature 5'-ends of tRNAs by cleaving the 5'-leader elements of precursor-tRNAs. Cellular RNase Ps are ribonucleoproteins.
Source: RNAcentral